This is a long non-coding RNA of Manis javanica (Malayan pangolin), 2303 nucleotides long. RefSeq lists it as uncharacterized. Lineage: Eukaryota; Metazoa; Chordata; Mammalia; Pholidota; Manidae. The record is from RefSeq and is a predicted model, not a curated record.
UUGAAUUUAGGUUCAUAAAGAGGUCCUAGCUUUGCCUCGCCCUCCACAGCUCUCUGGCACAAUGAGGCAGAUUCCCACUGAGGGCUGUGGUUCUGAUGCUGGGAGGGAGGCAUGGCCAUGGAGUGGGCUUACGAUAAACUCACGGAGGGCAGAAGCUGGCCACGUCACGGCUUUCGCUCUGGACGGUGGCUGCCCCAGGCGGGGUACAGAAGACCCAGGAAAGCAGGAGAUGGACCCGUGUCUGUUCAUAGGCACCCCAGGCAAGAUGAGUUUGAAAUUCUUGCUUGGGGCCAUAUGGAGUGGAUAUUCCAGGAGGAAAUUAUACACCGCUCUGUUUCUACUCAACCGCUUUUCACGUUGUCAAGUGGACCCUUUGAAGCCGACUUCUCCUCACCUCACAUUCUGACAUGAGUAAUUGUUUAAUUGCCUUUCAGUCUACACAAGAUAAGCAGCCAUGUCUCAAAAUUCUGUAAUUCUUUUAACCAAACAAUAGUGGAACCACCCAGAGCCAUUCUCAAAGAAAGAAAAGAAUUCCUCACAUAUGUGAAGCAUUUUAUUCUUUUCCAAUGCUUUGCAUUGUAGUAUUUUCCACAACUGGAUAAUGCAUAUGAAACACUGUAUAAAUUGUAUCAUGUAACCAAAAGGUAGGGUUUUAUAACAAUUAUUGAUCUGGUUUUUCUAUGUAAGAAACUGAAAGACAGGGAGGGGAAGUUAUCGCCCCAGAUCACUGCAAUUGAGGUGAGCCCAGACCGUGCUGGCUUGUCCGCACAGGCCACCUUCCCCAGCAGAGGCCAAGGACUGGCUUGGACCAGCAUCAGACGCUUCCCUGAGUGGAUGGGCUGAGUGAGCCCUGGCUGUGUGUCCUGACCUGGGUUACUUCGCGCUGACCCCACUGGCUCCGCUCACGGGCUUCAGGCACAGACCUGUCUGUUGAUCUUGUUCAGUAGUUACCAAAUCACUCUUCAGCACAACCACUUCCUCAGGCUGGAGCAGAGGAGUUGCUACAUUCUCUAAAUUUUAAAGCACAUACGUUGCUUUUUCUUUUAAAAAAUUUGUCCCUGAAAUCAGUUUACAACCCAUUUCCAUAUUUGUAAAAGCUGUUAGCAAAUCCUCAGGAUAGGAUUCUUUAGCUUCCAGUGUGUUAAGACAUAGCCUGGAGCAGCACCUCUGUCUGGGAUGGAGCCCACCCUGGUGGGCAGAGAUAGAGGGCCGAGGAUGCCCCCUACACCAGCUAACCCCAUGGAGGGUGCAGGGUAACCUGAGAGAAGCAGCUGGAUGCAGGUGGUGAGGAAACCAGAGAGGGUUUCAUGUCCAUCAAAAACAUAAUCAGCAGAGUGAAAAGGUAGUCCACAACUAUGUAAAAGUGUUUGCAGAUCAUAUAUCUGAUAAGGGAUUAAUAUACAGCAUAUAGAAAGAACUCUUACAGCUCAAACACAACAAAAAUAAAUAAAAAUUUGGGCACAGGAUUUGAAUAGACAUUUCUCCAAAGAAGACAUACAGAUGGCCAACAUGCACAUGAAAAGGUGCUUAACAUUACCAGUCACUAGGGAAAUGCAAAUCAAACCAUACUGAGAUAUUGCUUCACACCCAUUAGGGUGACUAUUAAAGAAAGACAACCCCUCUACCCCUGCAACAAACCAGAAAAAAACAAGUGUUGGUGAGGAUGUGGAGAAACUGAAUUCUUGUACACUGCUGGAAGGAAUGCAAAACUGGACAACUUCUAUGGAAAACAAUAUGGCAGUUCCUCAAAAAUUUAAACAUAGAAUCACCAUAUGAUCCAGAAAUCCCACUUCUGGAUAUAUACACAAAAUAAUUGAAAGCAGGAACUUGAGCAAAUAUUUGUAUACCAAAUGUUCUUGGCAGCAUUAUUCGUAAUAGCCCAAAUGUGGAAACAAUGCAAAUACCCAUUGAUGAUGAAGGGAUAAACAAAAUAUGAUAUAUCUGUACAGUGGAAUACUAUCCAGUCUUACAAAGGAAGGAAAUUCUGACACACGCUGCAACAUAAAUCAGCCUUGUAAACAUAUGCUAAGUAAAACAAACUAGAUGCAAAAAGUCAAAUACUGUGUGAUUCCUCUGACGUGCGAUACCUGCAGUUGUCAAAUUCAUAGAGAUAGAAAGUAGAAUGGUGGUUUCAAGGGGCUGGGGGGUAGGAGAGAAUGAGGAGUGACUUAAUGGGGACAGAGCUUCAGUGUGGGAUGAUGGAAAGGUUCUAGAGAUGGGUGAUGGUGAACAGCAAUGCGAAUGUACUUGAUGCCGCUGAACUGGACACAAAGACGGUUAAUGCUACAUUUUAUGAUAUUGUA